GAUGAAGAACGUAGCGAAAUGCGAUAAGUAGUGUGAAUUGCAGAAUUCAGUGAAUCAUCGAAUCUUUGAACGCACAUUGCGCCCUUUGGUAUUCCUUAGGGCAUGCCUGUUCGAGCGUCAUUUAAACCUUCAAGCUAAGCUUGGUGUUGGGUGACUGUCCGCUUCACGGCGGACUCGCCUCAAAAUUAUUGGCGGCCGGUACAUUGGCUUCGAGCGCAGCAGAAACGCGAACUCGGGCCCGUCGUAUUGGCUCCCAGAAGCUAUCUUCACAAUUUUGACCUCGGAUCAGGUAGGGAUACCCGCUGAACUUAAGCAUAUCAAUAAGCGGAGAA
RNAcentral lists this unclassified non-coding RNA (332 nucleotides) under soil metagenome. Its description in RNAcentral is "partial contains 5.8S ribosomal RNA, internal transcribed spacer 2, and large subunit ribosomal RNA". The stretch from base 1 to 120 matches the Rfam family "5.8S ribosomal RNA", at positions 35 to 154 of the family's 154-position model. The record is from RNAcentral.